GUAAUACGGAGGAUCCGAGCGUUAUCCGGAUUUAUUGGGUUUAAAGGGUGCGCAGGCGGGAGAUUAAGUCGGCGGUGAAAUUUUGCAGCUCAACUGUAAAAGUGCCAUCGAUACUGGUUUUCUUGAGUGUAGAUGAAGUAGGCGGAAUUUGUGGUGUAGCGGUGAAAUGCAUAGAUAUCACGAGGAACUCCGAUUGCGCAGGCAGCUUACUAAACUACAACUGACGCUCAGGCACGAAGGCGUGGGGAUCAAACAGGAUUAGAUACCCUGGUAGUCCACGCAGUAAACGAUGAUUACUGGCUGUUUGCGAUAUACAGUAAGCGGCUGAGCGAAAGCGUUAAGUAAUCCACCUGGGGAGUACGUUCGCAAGAAUGAAACUCAAAGGAAUUGACGGGGGCCCGCACAAGCGGAGGAACAUGUGGUUUAAUUCGAUGAUACGCGAGGAACCUUACCCGGGCUUGAAAUGCAUCUGACAGGGGCAGAGACGCUCUCUCCCUUCGGGGCAGAUGUGUAGGUGCUGCAUGGUUGUCGUCAGCUCGUGCCGUGAGGUGUCGGCUUAAGUGCCAUAACGAGCGCAACCCUCAUCAUUAGUUACCAUCAGGUCAGGCUGGGGACUCUAGUGAGACUGCCAUCGUAAGAUGCGAGGAAGGUGGGGA
Molecule: ribosomal RNA, 656 nt
Filed under: uncultured bacterium
Lineage: Bacteria
Description: SSU rRNA
Rfam family: Bacterial small subunit ribosomal RNA
Source: RNAcentral